AGAGUUUGAUCCUGGCUCAGGACGAACGCUGGCGGCGUGCCUAAUACAUGCAAGUCGAGCGGAUUAUCCCUUCGGGGAUGGUUAGCGGCGGACGGGUGAGUAACACGUAGGCAACCUGCCUGUAAGACCGGGAUAACUACCGGAAACGGUAGCUAAGACCGGAUAGCUGGUCUUCUCGCAUGAGGAGAUCAUGAAACACG
This 200-nucleotide ribosomal RNA is filed under the name uncultured bacterium. Its description in RNAcentral is "partial 16S ribosomal RNA". It matches the Rfam family "Bacterial small subunit ribosomal RNA", at positions 8 to 210 of the family's 1533-position model. The record is from RNAcentral.